GAUAUUUUGCUUGUUGCGGUUAAAAAGCUCGUAGUUGGAUUUCUUCCAGGGGCAGUCGGUCCACACUACGUGUGCGUAUCUGAUUUGACUUUGGAAUCCUCUUGGGGAACAUCUCUGCGCUUAACUGCGUAGAAUGGUAUUCAAGACUUUUACUUUGAGGAAAUUAGAGUGUUCACGGCAGGCAAUCGCCCUGAAUACAUUAGCAUGGAAUAAUAAUAUAGGAUUUCGGUUCUAUUUUGUUGGUUUCUAGAGCUGAGAUAAUGAUUAAUAGGGACACUUGGGGGCAUUCGUACUAUCACGUCAGAGGUGGAAUUCUUGGAUUGUGUUACGACGAACUACUGCGAAAGCAUUUGCCAAGGAUGUUUUCAUUGAUCAAGAACGAAAGUAAGGGGAUCGAAGACGCUUAGAUACCGUC
This 415-nucleotide ribosomal RNA is filed under the name uncultured marine eukaryote. RNAcentral's name for it is "SSU rRNA". It matches the Rfam family "Eukaryotic small subunit ribosomal RNA", at positions 610 to 1019 of the family's 1831-position model. The record is from RNAcentral.